CACGUAGGCGGCUCUAUAAGUCAGAUGUGAAAUCCCCGGGCUCAACCUGGGAACUGCAUCUGAAACUGUAGAGCUAGAGUAUGUGAGAGGAAGGUAGAAUUCCAGGUGUAGCGGUGAAAUGCGUAGAGAUCUGGAGGAAUACCGAUGGCGAAGGCAGCCUUCUGGCAUAAUACUGACACUGAGGCUCGAAAGCGUGGGUAGCAAACA
Molecule: ribosomal RNA, 207 nt
Filed under: uncultured bacterium
Lineage: Bacteria
Description: partial 16S ribosomal RNA
Rfam family: Bacterial small subunit ribosomal RNA
Source: RNAcentral